CAGAGGGUGCGAGCGUUGUCCGGAAUCACUGGGCGUAAAGGGCGCGUAGGUGGCCUGGUAAGUAGGGGGUGAAAUCUCGAGGCUCAACUUCGAGGCUGCCUCCUAAACUGUCGGGCUUGAGCAGAGUAGAGGCAGGUGGAAUUCCCGGUGUAGCGGUGGAAUGCGUAGAGAUCGGGAAGAACAUCGGUGGCGAAGGCGGCCUGCUGGGCUCUUGCUGACACUGAGGCGCGACAGCGUGGGGAGCAAACAGGAUUAGAUACCCUGGUAGUCCACGCCGUAAACGAUGGGUACUAGGCGCCGGGGGGAGCGACCCCUUCGGUGCCGUCGCUAACGCAAUAAGUACCCCGCCUGGGGAGUACGGCCGCAAGGCUG
RNAcentral lists this ribosomal RNA (372 nucleotides) under uncultured organism. RNAcentral's name for it is "bacterial SSU rRNA". It matches the Rfam family "Bacterial small subunit ribosomal RNA", at positions 526 to 896 of the family's 1533-position model. The record is from RNAcentral.